GUCAGCAAGCGCCACGGGGCAAAGCUUGGUGGCGUCGGGUGAUGGUGGGCAACUCUUCCUCCUCGAUUCGGCGCUAGGCCGGCACGGGUAGGCUUGCCUGGACGGGGACGACGUGCUUUCACGGGUCCGGCAGCGCGGUGGCAGGAGCAGAUGGAGGCGGCAUCCACGGUUCGGCGGGUGGCGGCGUCAGGCGCGAGAGCUGGCUGUGCGGCGGCUGCAGGUGUUGGGCCUCGAGUGGAUGCGGGCCCCAUCGGGUGGCCGGAUCUGGCGACCUAGCGGGUGGCGCCCUGGUGGCCGGCGAGGUGCUACAGGGGAGGGAGGCCAGGACGGCGCCCCCGUGCCGUGUCUGGUGCGGUUUCAGGUGGGGGCCAGUGUGGUGCUUUGGGCGGGCGGCGGCCCGGCGUGGCUGCUGUGCUGGACGGGGAGCGUGAUGGUGGGGCUGGGCGCAUGCGCAGACGGUGCGGUGCGUGUUGCUCCGGCCGCUUCUUCCCUUGACUGUGGGCGUGUGGAGGUGGGUCCGGCAGCUGCUUGGCGGAGCUCGACAGGGGCUGGAGGUGGUGGCUAGGUGCAGGUGGAGGACAUGACUGGCCUUUGGCGGCGUCCCGGGCGGCCGGAGUUGCCGGCUGCCUAUGGCAUCCCGGUCCAGAUCUGAACGGUCAGAUCGGAUGGGGCAGUCUUCACCCUCCCGGUGGUGUUGUCCCGUAGUUGGCCAGCGACACCAUCGGCCCAUGACCAUCUCCAGCGAUGUCGAGUGGGGACCCGAGGUUGUUGGGGUGGCGUCCACACGUUAUGGCGUCAGUGUAGGGGUGGCGGCGGGGUUCCUGGUUUGUGGUAGUAAGAGUACCACUGAUAUGGCAGCAUUCAAGUGUGCUUGGCGGCAGCCGUCGGUAGUCUUUGCGUUGUAUCCCUCCUAGUCCACCAGGACCGGCUGAGGAUGCUGCUGUGGGUGCUCCCUACUGUGUGGGCGCCGACCCAGACCCGAUGACUGAUGCCGGGCUAGGGGUGAAGGACGGCGUAUUUCACUUCUACUACCAUGGUUGGGUGGUCGUGAUGUGGAUGGUCGGUGGUGCCUUGCGACACCAAUGCCGGGGCGGCGGUCCUGGAUGGCCGGCUUCACGGUUGGCUUCCCGGCAGGCUCCAUGGUGGCGGUGGUGGCUACACCUCUUGGUCGUGUGGGCGGCUAGAGGGGUAGUGGCGGGCGACCCUGGCCUGUUCUGAUAGUGCCCAGAUCUGGUGUGAUGAGCUGACCUUAGUUGCGGUGGUAACCGGGAUCCCUCUAGUGGUGGCGGCGAGUAUUCGAGUGAAAACUUUACAUUUCUGGCGCCGGCGCCGGCGGCGCCCAUGGGGGUCGCAUGCUUCUUGAAGACGUCGUCGUGGAUCUUGCCCCGGUGCCAGGGCUCUGGGUGGGUGAAAACUCUAGUCCAUAUGGACUCGGCAGCGGCAUCGCAUCGCGUCAAGUGCCCUUGGUCGAACCUCGUCUAGGUGUUAGGCUUGUUCUGGUUUCUUGUUUAUCUUCUGAUCUUCAUUGUAAGAGGGGCUCCCCACCAUAUUGUAUUGUUCGGCCGUGUACUCUGUUAUGAUGUUGCUUUAUAUAUAAAGCGGAGCGAAAGCCUGUUUCGAGAUUUUGGAAUCUCAAAUGCAUAUUAAAAAUUGCUACACCUCUUCCGUAAUCCAUGGGAAUGGAGCUGAAAAUUAGUGACAGUAGAUUGAUUUCAGUGCUCAUACCAUGAUUUAAUCCAUGGGAAGGGAGCAUUAAUCAGAAGGAUUAACUCACCAUGGUGACAAAUUGCUUUGUUCGUGACUUCUAAAACAAGGUCACAAGGGUGUGUAGUAAGUAACAUAGAAGUAAGGGGAAUGUUUGCUGUUUGGAGAAAGCUCGUCUCCGGCCUCCUUUAGGGUCUUACUUCUACAGAGACUAGAAUUAUUCUUCUAG
This is a long non-coding RNA of Triticum aestivum (bread wheat), 1933 nucleotides long. RefSeq lists it as uncharacterized. NCBI's taxonomy places the organism in Eukaryota, Viridiplantae, Streptophyta, Magnoliopsida, Poales, Poaceae. The record is from RefSeq and is a predicted model, not a curated record. The transcript has 3 exons.